RNAcentral lists this small RNA (191 nucleotides) under Kocuria sp. Its description in RNAcentral is "c-di-AMP sequence". It matches the Rfam family "c-di-AMP riboswitch aptamer (ydaO/yuaA leader)". Rfam says of the family: This family represents a conserved RNA structure found upstream of the ydaO and yuaA genes in Bacillus subtilis and related genes in other bacteria. The ydaO/yuaA element is thought to act as a genetic "off" switch for the ydaO and yuaA genes in its native state. It is believed that the element may be triggered during osmotic shock leading to activation of ydaO, a predicted amino acid transporter gene, and members of the yuaA-yubG operon which code for KtrA and KtrB K+ transporters. The record is from RNAcentral. Lineage: Bacteria; Bacillati; Actinomycetota; Actinomycetes; Micrococcales; Micrococcaceae.
UCGUGCACAUCGCCGAAUUCUGCCGGUGCUCGAGGUUCCUGAAGAGAUAUCGCUUGGCAGAAGCGGGGGAACCAUUUUCGGUCCCGGUGAUCCGGGGCCUUGGGGUUAAGCCGGCAGAGCGCGUGCGCUCUGCCGGCCGGGUGUCUCCCACCCGCAUCCGACAGCUCACCUCGUAGGCAAAGGGAGGAACU